UUGGUUAAGUUAGAAAGGGCGCACGGUGGAUGCCUUGGCACUAGGAGCCGAAGAAGGACGGGACUAACACCGAUAUGCUUUGGGGAGCUGUACGUAAGCGUUGAUCCAGAGAUUUCCGAAUGGGGGAACCCACUAUCUUUAGUCGGAUAGUAUCCUUACGUGAAUACAUAGCGUGAGGAAGGCAGACCCAGGGAACUGAAACAUCUAAGUACCUGGAGGAAGAGAAAGAAAAAUCGAUUUCCUGAGUAGCGGCGAGCGAAACGGAAAGAGCCCAAACCAAGAAGCUUGCUUCUUGGGGUUGUAGGACACUCUAUACGGAGUUACAAAAGAAAGUUAUAAAUGAAGCGGUCUGGAAAGGCCCGCCAAAGACGGUAACAGCCCGGUAGUUGAAAUGGCUUUCCCUCCAGAGUGGAUCCUGAGUACGGCGGAACACGUGAAAUUCCGUCGGAAUCCGGGAGGACCAUCUCCCAAGGCUAAAUACUCCCUAGUGACCGAUAGUGAACCAGUACCGUGAGGGAAAGGUGAAAAGCACCCCGGAAGGGGAGUGAAACAGUUCCUGAAACCGUGUGCCUACAAGUAGUUAGAGCCCGUUAAUGGGUGAUAGCGUGCCUUUUGUAGAAUGAACCGGCGAGUUACGAUUUGUUGCAAGGUUAAGCGGAAAAAGCGGAGCCGUAGCGAAAGCGAGUCUGAAUAGGGCGCAUAAGUAACAGGUCGUAGACCCGAAACCAGGUGAUCUACCCAUGUCCAGGAUGAAGGUAAGGUAAUACUUACUGGAGGUCCGAACCCACGCACGUUGAAAAGUGCGGGGAUGAGGUGUGGGUAGCGGAGAAAUUCCAAUCGAACUUGGAGAUAGCUGGUUCUCUCCGAAAUAGCUUUAGGGCUAGCCUCGAGGUAAAGAGUCAUGGAGGUAGAGCACUGUUUGGACUAGGGGCCCUUCUCGGGUUACCGAAUUCAGAUAAACUCCGAAUGCCAUGUACUUAUACUCGGGAGUCAGACUGCGAGUGAUAAGAUCCGUAGUCGAAAGGGAAACAGCCCAGACCACCAGUUAAGGUCCCCAAAUAUAUGUUAAGUGGAAAAGGAUGUGGGGUUGCUUAGACAACCAGGAUGUUGGCUUAGAAGCAGCCACCAUUGAAAGAGUGCGUAAUAGCUCACUGGUCGAGUGACCCCGCGCCGAAAAUGUACCGGGGCUAAACAUAUUACCGAAACUGUGGAUGAACCUCUUUAGAGGUUCGUGGUAGGAGAGCGU
This 1246-nucleotide ribosomal RNA is filed under the name Listeria monocytogenes. RNAcentral describes it as "partial 23S ribosomal RNA". It matches the Rfam family "Bacterial large subunit ribosomal RNA", at positions 1 to 1239 of the family's 2925-position model. Lineage: Bacteria; Bacillati; Bacillota; Bacilli; Caryophanales; Listeriaceae. The record is from RNAcentral.